This 408-nucleotide ribosomal RNA is filed under the name uncultured bacterium. Its description in RNAcentral is "partial 16S ribosomal RNA". It matches the Rfam family "Bacterial small subunit ribosomal RNA", at positions 28 to 526 of the family's 1533-position model. The record is from RNAcentral.
GACGAACGCUGGCGGCGUGCUUAACACAUGCAAGUCGAACGAAGUGGCGAAAGGGUGAGUAACGCGUAAUCAACCUGCCCUUCAGAGGGGGAAAACAGUUGGAAACGACUGCUAAUACCGCAUACUGAAGGAGGGGAUGCAGUCUGAUUAGCUAGUUGGAGGGGUAACGGCCCACCAAGGCCAUGAUCAGUAGCCGGUCUGAGAGGCUUAUCGGCAACAGUGGGACUGAGACACGGCCCAGACUCCUACGGGAGGCAGCAGUGGGGAAUCUUCCGCAAUGGACGAAAGUCUGACGGAGCAACGCCGCGUGAGUGAUGACGGCCUUCGGGUUGUAAAGCUCUGUUAAUCGGGACGCGGUACCGAAAUAGAAAGCCACGGCUAACUACGUGCCAGCAGCCGCGGUAAUAC